GUGCUCACAUUAGCAGCAUAUUGGAACUAACUUUGGAAAGAUACAGAGAAGAUUAGUAUGACCCCUGGGGAAAGAUGACAUGCAAAUUCAUAGUGUUCCAUAUAAGU
Molecule: small nuclear RNA, 107 nt
Organism: Molossus molossus (Pallas's mastiff bat)
Lineage: Eukaryota; Metazoa; Chordata; Mammalia; Chiroptera; Molossidae
Source: RefSeq, a predicted model, not a curated record